This is a long non-coding RNA of Carassius carassius (crucian carp), 1494 nucleotides long. RefSeq lists it as uncharacterized. The transcript has 2 exons. The record is from RefSeq and is a predicted model, not a curated record. Lineage: Eukaryota; Metazoa; Chordata; Actinopteri; Cypriniformes; Cyprinidae.
GGUAUUCCAGAAAGCAGGUUAUGUGACAUACCUGGGUAUGUUUAAGGGUAAGUUCGUGGAUAACCUCAACGUUCGGUUCCAAAAACAGAGGUAACUUUCUGGGUAUGUAUGUAACCAUAGCAACUGACUCUCUGAAGAUAACCUGCUCGAGAGCAGUUAUGUUUCAGUGUAACUUCGUUUCAGAAGGUUGGUGAGCAUGGCGUGCCCUUUUGACGAGGAUCCUGUGGACGUAGAAGCACAAAUUAUACGAGGUUUUUUUCGUCGGGAGAGGGUUAUAAGACCGCGUAUUGAUGUGUUUGCAUACCCUAAUGAAUAUUUAAACGAGCGUUAUCGUUUUUCAAAAGAUUCAUUAGUUUAUUUAACACGUCUUUUAAAACCGCAUAUUGCAAAUGUGACAAACCGCGGCUCUGCACUUAGCACAGAAAACAUUCUGUGCAUAGCACUUAGGUUUUUUGCGUCUGGCCAUUUUUUGUACAGUGUGGGCGAUUCAGAGCAUGUGGGAAAGGCAACUGUGUGUAGAGCCGUUCGUACAGUGUGUCUGGCACUUAAACAGUUGUUACCCACGUUUGUACAGUUCCCUGGCCAUAAACCUCCGCUUGUUAUUAAAGACGAAUUCCACAGAGUGGCAGGUUUGUCCUUUGUAGUAAAAUAUAUGACGCAUAUUUAAUAUUUAGUCAUAUUAUUAAUAUUUAUACAUGUAUUCAUUAUGCACACACUUCAUACUUCCAUAACUUUCUGUUUCAGGGUUUCCAAAUGUAAUUGGGUGCAUUGAUGGCACUCACAUUCCUAUUAAAGCUCCAUCAAUAAAUGAGGGAGACUAUGUUAAUAGGAAAUCUAUUCAUAGUAUCAAUGUGCAGGUAAUAUGUGAGGCAACCCAAAUCAUCACCAAUGUCGAGCAAAAUGGCCAGGAUCUGUGCAUGAUGCCAGAAUUUUCCGCGAGUCAUCAUUAUGCCAGACAUUUCAGCAGGGUAUGAUUUGCUUUAUACAAUUUUUGUUUUUUCGUUUUUUCUAUAUUUGUGUUGUACACUUCAAUCAUUACAGGACAGUACAAUGGUUACUUGCUGGGGGACAGAGGAUACCCUUGUCUGCCCUAUUUAAUGACACCCUACCCUGAACCUAAGCCUGGACCACAGACAUGGUUUAACCUGGCUCACAGCCGAACACGGGCCAAGGUGGAGAUGACUGUAGGGAUCCUCAAAUCUCGGUUUCAGUGUCUGCGUGGGCUCCGGGUUAGUCCAGAGAGGGCAUGCGACAUUAUUGUGGCUUAUGUUGUGCUUCACAAUAUUGCCACUAUAAGAGGAGAGAGCCACCCUCCUUGUAUUGAGGAAGAUGGCCCAGAGGAACACCGACAGAUUUUAGAGGCCAACAGAGACGGAAGACUUUUGAGAGACAGGAUUUGUCAAAAUUACUUUUAUUAGUUUUUUUUUGCACUGGUCUGCCAGGCAGUUUAUUUCUUCAUUUCCUGAAAAACAAUAAAAGUACAAUUCAUUAAAA